UAAGUUAACUUAACCUAUGGAUGGGCAUAACCUCGGGAAACUGAGAAUAAUACCCAAUGGACCACAGUGCCUGGAAUGGCCUGUGGUUGAAAUGAUUUAUCGCCGUAGGAUAGGACUGCGGCCUAUCAGCUUGUUGGUGAGGUAAUGGCCCACCAAGGCUAUAACAGGUACGGGCUCUGAGAGGAGGGGCCCGGAGAUGGGUACUGAGACACGGACCCAGGCCCUAUGGGGCGCAGCAGGCGAGAAACCUUUGCAAUGUGCGAAAGCACGACAAGGUUAAUCCGAGUGUCUCCUGCUAAAGGAGUCUUUUGUCAGUUGUAGAAUCACUGGUGAAUAAGGGGUGGGCAAGUUCUGGUGUCAGCCGCCGCGGUAAAACCAGACACCUCGAGUGGUCAGGAGGUUUAUUGGGCCUAAAGCAUCCGUAGCAGAUUGCAUAAGGUUUACGGUUACAUCUAUGCGCUU
RNAcentral lists this ribosomal RNA (462 nucleotides) under uncultured archaeon. RNAcentral describes it as "bacterial SSU rRNA". It matches the Rfam family "Archaeal small subunit ribosomal RNA", at positions 101 to 560 of the family's 1478-position model. The record is from RNAcentral.